GGCCGGGAACUCAAAGGAGACUGCCAGUGAUAAACUGGAGGAAGGUGGGGAUGACGUCAAGUCAUCAUGGCCCUUACGACCAGGGCUACACACGUGCUACAAUGGCAUAUACAAAGAGAAGCGACCUCGCGAGAGCAAGCGGACCUCAUAAAGUAUGUCGUAGUCCGGAUUGGAGUCUGCAACUCGACUCCAUGAAGUCGGAAUCGCUAGUAAUCGUAGAUCAGAAUGCUACGGUGAAUACGUUCCCGGGCCUUGUACACACCGCCCGUCACACCAUGGGAGU
Molecule: ribosomal RNA, 283 nt
Filed under: Klebsiella quasipneumoniae subsp. similipneumoniae
Lineage: Bacteria; Pseudomonadati; Pseudomonadota; Gammaproteobacteria; Enterobacterales; Enterobacteriaceae
Also listed under: 1 other name
Description: partial 16S ribosomal RNA
Rfam family: Bacterial small subunit ribosomal RNA
Source: RNAcentral